Non-coding RNA from Mus musculus (house mouse), 260 nucleotides. Lineage: Eukaryota; Metazoa; Chordata; Mammalia; Rodentia; Muridae. The record is from the annotation of a RefSeq genome assembly.
AUAAAGCCUCCCUCCCAGUUUUUGGUGUUCUUGAUGAUUUGGAUCCCAGGCAUAAUAUUUAGCAUCAAGUUGACCCAAUCCCCAUCCUACUCAUCUGCAUAUAUAGAGGAGAGAGUCACUAUUAAUUGCAUGACAAGUUAGGCGAUUACUAUAUCAUUAGCUUGAUAUCAGCAGAAACAAAGAAAUGCUCCUAAACUCCUCGUACAUCACACAUUCAGGUUGAAAUCAGGGGUUCUUUCAAGGGUUAGAAGUAGUUGAUC